GGCGGACGGGUGAGUAAUGUCUGGGAAACUGCCUGAUGGAGGGGGAUAACUACUGGAAACGGUAGCUAAUACCGCAUAACGUCGCAAGACCAAAGUGGGGGACCUUCGGGCCUCAUGCCAUCAGAUGUGCCCAGAUGGGAUUAGCUAGUAGGUGGGGUAAUGGCUCACCUAGGCGACGAUCCCUAGCUGGUCUGAGAGGAUGACCAGCCACACUGGAACUGAGACACGGUCCAGACUCCUACGGGAGGCAGCAGUGGGGAAUAUUGCACAAUGGGCGCAAGCCUGAUGCAGCCAUGCCGCGUGUGUGAAGAAGGCCUUCGGGUUGUAAAGCACUUUCAGCGGGGAGGAAGGCGUUAAGGUUAAUAACCUUGGCGAUUGACGUUACCCGCAGAAGAAGCACCGGCUAACUCCGUGCCAGCAGCCGCGGUAAUACGGAGGGUGCAAGCGUUAAUCGGAAUUACUGGGCGUAAAGCGCACGCAGGCGGUCUGUCAAGUCGGAUGUGAAAUCCCCGGGCUCAACCUGGGAACUGCAUUCGAAACUGGCAGGCUAGAGUCUUGUAGAGGGGGGUAGAAUUCCAGGUGUAGCGGUGAAAUGCGUAGAGAUCUGGAGGAAUACCGGUGGCGAAGGCGGCCCCCUGGACAAAGACUGACGCUCAGGUGCGAAAGCGUGGGGAGCAAACAGGAUUAGAUACCCUGGUAGUCCACGCCGUAAACGAUGUCGAUUUGGAGGUUGUGCCCUUGAGGCGUGGCUUCCGGAGCUAACGCGUUAAAUCGACCGCCUGGGGAGUACGGCCGCAAGGUUAAAACUCAAAUGAAUUGACGGGGGCCCGCACAAGCGGUGGAGCAUGUGGUUUAAUUCGAUGCAACGCGAAGAACCUUACCUGGUCUUGACAUCCACAGAACUUUCCAGAGAUGGAUUGGUGCCUUCGGGAACUGUGAGACAGGUGCUGCAUGGCUGUCGUCAGCUCGUGUUGUGAAAUGUUGGGUUAAGUCCCGCAACGAGCGCAACCCUUAUCCUUUGUUGCCAGCGGUUAGGCCGGGAACUCAAAGGAGACUGCCAGUGAUAAACUGGAGGAAGGUGGGGAUGACGUCAAGUCAUCAUGGCCCUUACGACCAGGGCUACACACGUGCUACAAUGGCAUAUACAAAGAGAAGCGACCUCGCGAGAGCAAGCGGACCUCAUAAAGUAUGUCGUAGUCCGGAUUGGAGUCUGCAACUCGACUCCAUGAAGUCGGAAUCGCUAGUAAUCGUAGAUCAGAAUGCUACGGUGAAUACGUUCCCGGGCCUUGUACACACCGCCCGUCACACCAUGGGAGUGGGUUGCAAAAGAAGUAGGUAGCUUAACCUUCGGGAGGGCGCUUACCACUUUGUGAUUCAUGACUGGGGUGAAGUCGUAACAAGGUAACCGUAGGGGAACCUGCGGUUGGAUCACCU
Molecule: ribosomal RNA, 1434 nt
Filed under: Klebsiella pneumoniae
Lineage: Bacteria; Pseudomonadati; Pseudomonadota; Gammaproteobacteria; Enterobacterales; Enterobacteriaceae
Description: bacterial SSU rRNA
Rfam family: Bacterial small subunit ribosomal RNA
Source: RNAcentral